UUUCUGUGAAGCUUCACGCAACCACAUCCCAUCCCAUCAAAAAUCACUUCAAAUUGUUAACCUGCAGGGAUAAAAAUAGCUUAAUUAAAAAACCCUUUUCAUAAAGCACUUAAAGAACUGAAAAGUAAUUAAUGAGUUAAUCAGUUUAACAUUUAUCCAGAAGUCCAAUACGAAACUCAAAAAGCAUACUUCGAAAAUAACUUAAAACAGUAACACAUUUACAAAAAUGGAAUCCACAAUAACCGGGAAUGGAAAGGCAUAACAGACGGUUUUCUUUUGAGGAUAAAAAAUUCAUCUGUGAAGAGAUCAGGAGAUAUAUAAGAACACGUCUAAAAAAUCCAGGGGGACGGAGAUACUUCUUUGUAAGCAUAAAAUCGCAAAAACAACAC
RNAcentral lists this long non-coding RNA (389 nucleotides) under Lathyrus oleraceus (garden pea). RNAcentral describes it as "Pisum sativum (pea) long non-coding RNA (PSAT_LNC018036)". The record is from RNAcentral. Lineage: Eukaryota; Viridiplantae; Streptophyta; Magnoliopsida; Fabales; Fabaceae.